RNAcentral lists this unclassified non-coding RNA (86 nucleotides) under Pseudomonas corrugata. Lineage: Bacteria; Pseudomonadati; Pseudomonadota; Gammaproteobacteria; Pseudomonadales; Pseudomonadaceae. The record is from RNAcentral.
UGUGGGAGCGAGCCUGCUCGCGAUCCAGGCGACUCGGUUUGGCUUGGCACCGAAGUGAUGCCAUCGCGAGCAGGCUCGCUCCCACA